GAAUAUGGGGGGACCAUCCUCCAAGGCUAAAUACUCCUGACUGACCGAUAGUGAACCAGUACCGUGAGGGAAAGGCGAAAAGAACCCCGGCGAGGGGAGUGAAAAAGAACCUGAAACCGUGUACGUACAAGCAGUGGGAGCACAGGUUUACCUGUGUGACUGCGUACCUUUUGUAUAAUGGGUCAGCGACUUAUAUUCUGUAGCAAGGUUAACCGAAUAGGGGAGCCGGAGGGAAACCGAGUCUUAAUUGGGCGUUAAGUUGCAGGGUAUAGACCCGAAACCCGGUGAUCUAGCCAUGGGCAGGUUGAAGGUUGGGUAACACUAACUGGAGGACCGAACCGACUAAUGUUGAAAAAUUAGCGGAUGACCUGUGGCUGGGGGUGAAAGGCCAAUCAAACCGGGAGAUAGCUGGUUCUCCCCGAAAGCUAUUUAGGUAGCGCCUCGUGAAUUCAUCUCCGGGGGUAGAGCACUGUUUCGGCUAGGGGGCCAUCCCGGCUUACCAACCCGAUGCAAACUGCGAAUACCGGAGAAUGUUAUCACGGGAGACACACGGCGGGUGCUAACGUCCGUCGUGAAGAGGGAAACAACCCAGACCGCCAGCUAAGGUCCCAAAGUCAUGGUUAAGUGGGAAACGAUGUGGGAAGGCCCAGACAGCCAGGAUGUUGGCUUAGAAGCAGCCAUCAUUUAAAGAAAGCGUAAUAGCUCACUGGUCGAGUCGGCCUGCGCGGAAGAUGUAACGGGGCUAAACCAU
This 751-nucleotide ribosomal RNA is filed under the name Salmonella enterica subsp. enterica. RNAcentral describes it as "partial 23S ribosomal RNA". It matches the Rfam family "Bacterial large subunit ribosomal RNA", at positions 440 to 1190 of the family's 2925-position model. The record is from RNAcentral. RNAcentral also lists the same sequence under 1 other name. Lineage: Bacteria; Pseudomonadati; Pseudomonadota; Gammaproteobacteria; Enterobacterales; Enterobacteriaceae.